UAACACCAGCAGCCCAAGUGGUGGCCGCGAUUAUUGGGCCUAAAGCGCUCGUAGCCGGAUCAGCAAGUCCUUUGUGAAAUCGGGCCGCCCAACGGUUCGGCGUGCAAAGGAUACUGUUGGUCUUGAGACCGGGAGAGGUCGGAGGUACUCUUGGGGUAGCGGUGAAAUGCUGUAAUCCUGGGGGGGCCACCAGUGGCGAAGGCGUCCGACCAGAACGGAUCUGACGGUGAGGGGCGAAGGCUAGGGGAGCGAACGGGAUUAGAUACCCCGGUAGUCCUAGCUGUAAAGCAUGCGGGCCAGGUGUCUAGCGCUCCUCGAGGGCGCUAUGUGCCGGAGGGAAGCCGUUAGGCCCGUCGCCUGGGAAGUACGGCCGCAAGGCUG
Molecule: ribosomal RNA, 381 nt
Filed under: uncultured archaeon
Lineage: Archaea
Description: bacterial SSU rRNA
Rfam family: Archaeal small subunit ribosomal RNA
Source: RNAcentral